Long non-coding RNA from Homo sapiens (human), 800 nucleotides. Ensembl annotates it as maternally expressed 8, small nucleolar RNA host gene. Its record names the gene MEG8. The record is from Ensembl. NCBI's taxonomy places the organism in Eukaryota, Metazoa, Chordata, Mammalia, Primates, Hominidae.
AAUGGAGGCGUGAUGGCUGAUGCAAUCAUUUUCCACUGAUGAAGGUUUUGAUGGCCACCUGUAAUGAACAGCCCCAUCUGAUUUAAUCACUGUGCAAUGACCGUGAACUGUACAGUUACCUCCGUGUGUCACAGGAAGACUCUUUUGACUUAAGCACCCUUCCAUGGUCAUGAGGUUUCUGGUUGCCUCUGUGUGUUAGAAGCUUGGAGACCAAUGCCUUCUGCUGUGAUCGCGUUCUCCACAGUUGCCUCUGGGUAGGAGCCUGGACACUAAUAGAAAAUGGAUGCACUUGAGCCGACCUAAGCAUUCAUGGUCAUGAGAUUUGUGGUUGCCACUGUUGGUUAGGAGCAUAGAGAUCAGUAAUGGACACACCUGGGCUGGCAGAACAUCUUGCCUUGAUCUGGAGCCCCAUGUCUGCCCCUCUGUAGAGGUGCACAUGGGCCAAUGAUGGAUGCAAUGAGCUGAUCAUUUUGCUGUGAUCAAGGCUAUGUUGCCUCUGUGUUAGGCCAAUGGUUGAUGUUCAUGGGUGAUUGAUCAUCCUGUAGCGACGGUGGUAUUGACUGUUCCCCAGAGGACAAGGAGUGUGUUCUUAUGUAAGUCAUAGUUGACAUUCUUGUUUUUGAUUGGGUAGUUUGCCUGUUCAUUGAUGUUCAUAGUACUAUAGAAGGUAGAUAAAUGGCCACAUACCUAAAGAAAAUCAAAGGGGACAAAAAGUGAGAGUCUGUUAUAAACUAAGGAUUAUAAUUAAUGUAAUUCAGUACAACUGUGGACAAUUUUGAAAAGAUAAAGAUUGAUGUCAU